Molecule: non-coding RNA, 62 nt
Filed under: Pseudonocardia sp.
Lineage: Bacteria; Bacillati; Actinomycetota; Actinomycetes; Pseudonocardiales; Pseudonocardiaceae
Description: Fluoride sequence
Rfam family: Fluoride riboswitch aptamer (crcB RNA motif)
Source: RNAcentral
UCAGCACACGGCGAUGGGGCUCGCCUUUGACCGCCUAACCGGCUGAUAGCUCCUACCAACGG